Molecule: ribosomal RNA, 496 nt
Filed under: uncultured bacterium
Lineage: Bacteria
Description: partial 16S ribosomal RNA
Rfam family: Bacterial small subunit ribosomal RNA
Source: RNAcentral
AUGCACGCUGGCGGCGUGCCUAAUCCAUGCCAGUCGAGCGAACAGACGAGGAGCUUGCUCCUCUGACGUUAGCGGCGGACGGGUGAGUAACACGUGGAUAACCUACCUAUAAGACUGGGAUAACUUCGGGAAACCGGAGCUAAUACCGGAUAAUAUAUUGAACCGCAUGGUUCCAUAGUGAAAGACGGUUUUGCUGUCACUUAUAGAUGGAUCCGCGCCGCAUUAGCUAGUUGGUAAGGUAACGGCUUACCAAGGCAACGAUGCGUAGCCGACCUGAGAGGGUGAUCGGCCACACUGGAACUGAGACACGGUCCAGACUCCUACGGGAGGCAGCAGUAGGGAAUCUUCCGCAAUGGGCGAAAGCCUGACGGAGCAACGCCGCGUGAGUGAUGAAGGUCUUCGGAUCGUAAAACUCUGUUAUUAGGGAAGAACAAAUGUGUAAGUAACUAUGCACGUCUUGACGGUACCUAAUCAGAAAGCCACGGCUAACUACGUG